GUGCUACUACAACCGCGCUGAAAAGGUUUUAAGUAUCUUUCGGGAUCACCUGAUUGAGGGCGAGUCUGAGUUAUAAG
This is a regulatory RNA element of Viridibacillus arenosi FSL R5-213, 77 nucleotides long. Lineage: Bacteria; Bacillati; Bacillota; Bacilli; Caryophanales; Caryophanaceae. The record is from Rfam.